RNAcentral lists this long non-coding RNA (1580 nucleotides) under Saimiri boliviensis boliviensis (Bolivian squirrel monkey). Its description in RNAcentral is "lncRNA (ENSSBOG00000036441.1)". The record is from RNAcentral. Lineage: Eukaryota; Metazoa; Chordata; Mammalia; Primates; Cebidae.
GGCGCCUUUCCCAGAAAUUGGGCAGAGAUUUAGGCCUUACAGUUACUUAAACUUGUAACCCUCCCAGUAGCUGUGGAGUCUAGUAAACGUGGCUUCUGCCGGGUUCGCCGGUCAGCCCAGGCUGUUGAGGGGCAGGCAUGGGGCCCGUGGGCCAGAGGAGACCUCCAGGCUUCUCUCCCACUCUUCUCUGGCCUGCACCCCCUCUUGGGUAGAGGCUGCACCUCCUGCUUGGGUUCGGCCACCUCCAAAUACUGCAUCGACGGCCCGUGUCUCUGCCUGCGGGGCUGGGCCAGCGCCAGAGACGCAGGCAAAGCGCCAGCCGCCCAGGGGCAGCAGCUGGCGAGUUGAGCCUCGUCUGCAUGAGAAAGCAUCACCUUUGCUUUCGGUUUGAUGCGGCAGUUCUCAGCCAGGCUGGAGGCAGCCUGGAAUCCCAGAUCUCCUACUGACACCUCAGGUCUCCCCCGCGGCUCCGGGGACGUCCCUAACCCCUGAUGCUGCACCACAGGCAGACCUGCCAGAACCUCACCACCACCAAGAUUGCUACCUGGAGAUUCCUGCUUGCCCCAAACCCCAGAUCAUUGCUGCCACUCUGAAUCUAACAACCCUGCUGACAAAAUUUCAUAGCUGUCCUUUGAAAAACUUUACAAGGGCACCACUUCUGCGUCCCUCAUUCCCACUGCUCCGGAUCCCUGUCUACAGAGCCACUCCUCCCGCCGGUGUGAUCCUGGAGCCCACGGUGGCCCCUGCUUUGAAGAGCCUGUUGGUCCAGUCCUUCCCGCCUUCUGCAGAGCUGUUCUCCUCCUUCUAAAGAAGUCACCUGGGCCCUGGGCCCCGUCUUCCUGGCUCCACAGAGUCCCUGUGGCUGCAGGCACUGCUUCUCUCUCCUGCACCCAAUCCCUCUCCCACUCCACUGCCUCUGGGUGUGCAAAAACACUGAUGUUUCCCAUAUUUUCAAAAUCUCUCCCCUGUAGUUCCCACCUGACUUCUAAUAGGUGGCCAAAGUACAGACAUUAAUGUAUGUUAAGGCACAUAAUUAAUGCAUAUUAAAAGUUAACAAUAAUGAAUAAGUAAUUAUUAUUAUACAUUAAAGUCUUAAUGUAUAAUGAGAAGUAUUAACUAUUCAGAAGUCCAAGCACUUGUGUGUGUGUGUGCAUGGUGCUAUCGCCUUGCUGUGGGCAAACCUGCAUUGGCACAGAGGCCACUUCCUGAGCCUGGACCCAGUCUCAGAGCUGGGGAACUGGCCCAGUGCAAAAGGGUCGGGAGCAUCUGCAACAGAGCCUGAGCUCUGCCAUCGUCAUUGACACAGCCUCCAUCCACCCUCCCCAACUCAACAGAGAGAGCGCUCCAUCAUACUUCUAAGACUUAGUAGGCCAAGAGGGGCUGAAUUAAAUUCUCUGAGACUUGUCUUUGGUCUGACUCUGGCAGCCUCAGUCUCCCAGAGCCCGUGGGAACUCGGCAGCCGGCAGGCGGAAGGCUGGGCGACGUCAGAAGAAGUAAAGGGGGAAGAACUUUACUCUUAGGAUCUGGCUGGACUCUAAAGGGCACAGUCAAGUCCCUGGAUACCGAGCACAGGGCUGAAC